Long non-coding RNA from Dreissena polymorpha, 1104 nucleotides. RefSeq lists it as uncharacterized. Lineage: Eukaryota; Metazoa; Mollusca; Bivalvia; Myida; Dreissenidae. The transcript is spliced from 2 exons. The record is from RefSeq and is a predicted model, not a curated record.
ACGAAAGCAAAAUUUGUUUUUCUAUGUCAUUUCUUUGUUUUGUUUUUUAUCCUUUUAAAAAUGUAUUGUCAAACAACAAAACACAAUCAAUGAGAAACAAACUAAUUAUUCUAGCAAUUUGUAUACAUUUUUAACAAAACCUGUGUGCUGGCUAUAUCGAUCAUAUGUAACCGUAUAAUAUUGCGCUGCUUACUUCCCUUGGAUAUAUCAGUGUUUGUUCACCUACGAAUUUUAAAUCGAGGCGUUUGCUGAUAUUGCUAUUUCGGCAUUUUCUUAAGACGUUUAUACCGGUUAAUAGCCCCGCAUGAUCAAUUUACCACAUACAUCGAGUUGAAUCUAAGAACAAAUACUGAAUACCACCACAUACAGUGUUCUUUUACGACACGAUCGGUCCGCUAUCUGUUUCCAGAACAGAAAAGUAAAUUGACCUACACUUUGCUAGUAGCAGAUGGAGAUGACUGGUACUGGACAGCGAACUAAAUCCACGUUCAAAAUUGGUCGCACUAAAGUCUCAUCUGUAUUUCAACCGGCUUAAGAAAGUUUAUUGUAUGUCAACACGGUAUGUACGUCCGUUUUCUGCAAAAGGAAGGGCUCUUUAUGAAGAGAGAAUUGAUGACUUUAGGAAGCGCUGUUCUGCUUCAUGGCGCAAAGUGACUGAAAGUUUGUGCAUAGUAAGUCGUUUAACUUAUGAGAGUAAUGUUGGUGAAAUUAACCUGAUUGAACAGCAAUUACCUAUGAAAGUUACGUAAAAGUUAAAGACAAAAUUUGAUGUGUACUUAAAAAAAUGUGAAAAGUGAAGCAAGUCUUAAAGAAUUAUCGGCUCUCACUACAGACGUGUCGCUACAGGAAAAAGCAAACUUACAUGCGCUGGAAAAGAUUGACCAAAAUAAACAAUCAAUAUUAAAAAAAGUCAUAUCCAGCAUGAAGCCAAACUCUGUCCAUGGUGGUGUGAAGACACACAGUUUGAGAUCCUCUAGCCGUAGGAGUGAACUCAUCGCAUUGAAACAAGCAGAAGCCGAAUCUGCCAAGAUAAAACUGAAAUAUACUCAACAAGAAGCAGCUCUUUUGAAACAAAAGGCAGAAUCAGAAGCGAAUCUUCAAGUU